UACGUAUGGGGCGAGCGUUGUUCGGAUUUAUUGGGCGUAAAGGGCGUGUAGGCGGCUCAUCAAGUCUGGUGUGAAAUCGCGGGGCUUAACCCCGCAUAUGCGCUGGAAACUGGUGGGCUUGAGUUCUUGAGGGGAAGCUGGAAUUCCAGGUGUAGGGGUGAAAUCUGUAGAUAUCUGGAAGAACACCGGUGGCGAAGGCGAGCUUCUAUCAGAGGACUGACGCUGAGGCGCGAAAGCGUGGGGAGCAAAC
RNAcentral lists this ribosomal RNA (250 nucleotides) under uncultured bacterium. RNAcentral describes it as "partial 16S ribosomal RNA". It matches the Rfam family "Bacterial small subunit ribosomal RNA", at positions 524 to 773 of the family's 1533-position model. The record is from RNAcentral.